This 506-nucleotide long non-coding RNA is filed under the name Physcomitrium patens. Its description in RNAcentral is "long non-coding RNA (PPAT_LNC012155)". The record is from RNAcentral. Lineage: Eukaryota; Viridiplantae; Streptophyta; Bryopsida; Funariales; Funariaceae.
AAUCAUAUGAUUAGAAUCGUCAAUAACAUCUAGACAAACUAAGUACUCUCCGGAUCUCCUGUAUCGGUAUUUCAUUCUAGUGUACUCGACAACUUGCCUUGUAUUAGCAUAAAUUAGGUCAGGUGUACCAAUUUCUUCUUUUGUAGGCUCAUCUUUACAAUCCAACGUGAAUUCUGAACUGACAAAUUGAGUUUCUUUGUGAUAUUGGACAUGGUACAUUUGAAGCAUAAUUUUAUCAUUACCCUUCUUAAUUGUCAAUAUACCACGGCUCCAAUCAUUUCGAACUUUAGUUUGAUAUAACCACGGUGGCUCCAAUAAAAUUAAGUAUGAUAAUAUAGAGCUUCACAAUCGAAAAAUAAUAUAAUCAAUUUUGUAAGAAAUCUCCACAAUUACUGUAUCAAUACUUCAUAAAAUAUCCAUAGGUUUAAAUUGACUGGAGUCAACCAUUCUCAAAACCACUAUAGUAGGCAAUAAGUGAUCCAAACCCAACUCCUCCAAUAUAAUGA